GGCGUAGGUGGCCUUUCAAGUCAGAUGUGAAAUCUCCCGGCUUAACUGGGAGGGUGCAUUUGAUACUGAUGGGCUGGAGUGCAGCAGAGGGAAGCGGAAUUCCCGGUGUAGUGGUGAAAUGCGUAGAUAUCGGGAAGAACACUAGUGGCGAAGGCGGUUUCCUGGGCUGUAACUGACGCUGAGGCCCGAAGGCGUGGGUAGCAAACA
This 207-nucleotide ribosomal RNA is filed under the name uncultured bacterium. RNAcentral describes it as "partial 16S ribosomal RNA". It matches the Rfam family "Bacterial small subunit ribosomal RNA", at positions 568 to 774 of the family's 1533-position model. The record is from RNAcentral.